RNAcentral lists this long non-coding RNA (1671 nucleotides) under Arabidopsis thaliana (thale cress). Its description in RNAcentral is "potential natural antisense gene, locus overlaps with AT3G51070 (AT3G51075)". The record is from RNAcentral. Lineage: Eukaryota; Viridiplantae; Streptophyta; Magnoliopsida; Brassicales; Brassicaceae.
GGUAAGUGAGAUUUUAGUUUGAUUUGUUUUCGUUGAUGCUCACCCUCCGUAGACAGCUCGCAUGUCCAUUACAUUCCUCACAUUUGACCAGCUGAUUCCUAUUUCAUUCAUGUAUACUUUGCUUACAACAUGUUUCCAGUGUUCAUAAUCUGUAGUGAAAUCUCGAGGAGCUGGUUUCCCAUAUAUCCCCAUUUGAGAGCUGUUUAACCAGUAAGGCGGUGUUUGAAGCCGACGGGGCCAAUUCACGGGCCACUUGCUUCCUCUCUCGACCACAUUGGUUUCUGGUAGAUUGCAGCACCAAUACCAUUGAGUUUAUCCUUGUUGAUUGUCACAAGUUCCCAGCACAAGGAUUUUGUCAACGCGGACAUUUCUACAUCACUCAAAACAUCUCAGGUUCAGUGAAACAAACAAAAGAAGGAGGAACUCUAGCCUAAGCAUCCGAUUAAGUUCCAGAAGAAGCAUACCACCCUCAUUAUGCCAUGGGACUCUACAACGUGCACAGUGGAUAAGAUCAAACACUCUGCUCGGGAAUGGCAGUCGCUUAGAGCCCAUAACUGCUGAGAUGGCUGGAAUCUUUCUUUCAAGAGCAAACUGGACUUGAGCCUCGUGUUCAUCUUUUGGUGCAAGAGACAUUGCUAUAACAUCUCUUUCAAAGAGGAAACCGCCAAAGCUCGCCACUCCACAUCCAACAUCCAAUAUGACCCGAGUACGUUUACCCCACGCAAUGUUUUUCAAAGACUGCCAUAGUAGAAAAAAGGAACCAUUAUAUUCUGCAUAAAAUUUCUAUCUUUUACUUGUUGCAGUUUUAACACUAUACUGAAAUCAAGAAAUGAGUGUUCACCUGCUGAAGAAAAUCGAUAUAAUGAAGAGCUCCAUGGAUGAACUGUGUUCCACCACCAGGAAACGUCAAGAACUCGCCAGUGACCUUCACCCAGUUCUGAUGUCCUUUUACCUCAGCUAGCUUUGUGUGUGGGACAUUGUGGUACCAUAUCUACUAGAUCACAUACUUUACGGCAUCGUCUGGAAGCUUUCCCGGAUUGUCUUCAAAUGCCUGUUGCUCAUCAGACUCUUGUUUCGUGGGUUCGGGCUCAUCAUUACCGUUUGAAGAGGCAGACACAUCACUCCUCUCUGUCUCUGCGACAGCCGCUCGAGUGGAGCCUUGUGUGAUCUGCGGUGGAAUAACGGAAUUGGAAGAAAGCAUCCACACCCCGAAGACACACAGAGCCACAAAGAUGACCAUUGUAAUGGUCGACGCAUAGGACGACGUCGAAGUGCGUUUGUUGCCACGUCCCCUCCCGAAGGCCAUCUUUACGGUCUUGCGUAUAGUACUAGUUAUGGAGAAAGAAGAAGAAGAAAAAUGAAGGAGUAAAAUGGGAGUUGAAGGAAGUAAAAAUAGAAGAAAAAGAAGAGAAAGAGAGGUUGUGAAGAGACAAGACUGGAUCAAAGAUCCUAUAGAGUCGGAUAUGGGACUUUCAAUUUCGUGUCUCUAAAUUUAGUUAUGGUCUCUGUGUUUCAUAUUUUGUUGUCCAUGAAAAAUUAGUGCCAUGUAAUCCAAUGUUAACUUGUAACGCCUAGUCAAGGAUAUAUUAAACAUGGCAAGCUUGUGCUUUUUUGGUAUAAUGUAUUCGAAGACUGUUUAAUUUGAAUUUUGAUUGAUUAAGUAUGUUGAUU